UACGUAGGGUGCAAGCGUUGUCCGGAAUCAUUGGGCGUAAAGCGCGUGUAGGCGGCUUCGUCAGUCCGUUGUGAAAGUCCAGGGCUCAACCCUGGAAUGCCGAUGGAUACUGCGGAGCUCGAGUCCGGAAGAGGCGAGUGGAAUUCCUGGUGUAGCGGUGAAAUGCGCAGAUAUCAGGAGGAACACCAAUGGCGAAGGCAGCUCGCUGGGACUGUACUGACGCUGAGACGCGAAAGCGUGGGGAGCAAACAGG
This 253-nucleotide ribosomal RNA is filed under the name uncultured bacterium. RNAcentral describes it as "partial 16S ribosomal RNA". It matches the Rfam family "Bacterial small subunit ribosomal RNA", at positions 524 to 776 of the family's 1533-position model. The record is from RNAcentral.